GCCGACGGUAAUAUUACUGUCUACAAAGCUCGACUUGUCGCAAAAGGGUUUCGGCAAGUUCAAGGGAUUGACUACGAUGAGACCUUCUCACAUGUAGCGAUGCUUAAGUCUGUCCGAAUCAUGUUAGCAAUUGCCGCAUUUUAUGAUUAUGAAAUUUGGCAGAUGGAUGUCAAAACUGCAUUCCUGAAUGGAUUUCUGGAAGAAGAGUUGUAUAUGAUGCAACCGGAAGGUUUUGUCGAUCCAAAGGGAGCUAACAAAGUGUGCAAGCUCCAGCGAUCCAUUUAUGGACUGGUGCAAGCCUCUCAGAGUUGGAAUAAACGCUUUGAUAGUGUGAUCAAAGCAUUUGGUUUUAUACAGACUUUUGGAGAAGCCUGUAUUUACAAGAAAGUGAGUGGGAGCUUUGUAGCAUUUAUGAUAUUAUAUGUGGAUGACAUAUUACUGAUUGGAAAUGAUAUAGAAUUUCUGGAUAGCAUAAAGGGAUACUUGAAUAAGAAUUUUUCA
RNAcentral lists this ribosomal RNA (501 nucleotides) under Triticum aestivum (bread wheat). RNAcentral's name for it is "partial small subunit ribosomal RNA". Lineage: Eukaryota; Viridiplantae; Streptophyta; Magnoliopsida; Poales; Poaceae. The record is from RNAcentral.